RNAcentral lists this ribosomal RNA (853 nucleotides) under uncultured bacterium. RNAcentral's name for it is "bacterial SSU rRNA". It matches the Rfam family "Bacterial small subunit ribosomal RNA", at positions 51 to 904 of the family's 1533-position model. The record is from RNAcentral.
ACACAUGCAAGUUGAACGAAGCGCUUAAAUGGAUUUCUUCGGAUUGAAGUUUUUGUGACUGAGUGGCGGACGGGUGAGUAACGCGUGGGUAACCUGCCUCAUACAGGGGGAUAACAGUUAGAAAUGACUGCUAAUACCGCAUAAGCGCACAGUGCUGCAUGGCACAGUGUGAAAAACUCCGGUGGUAUGAGAUGGACCCGCGUCUGAUUAGCUAGUUGGUGGGGUAACGGCCUACCAAGGCGACGAUCAGUAGCCGGCCUGAGAGGGUGAACGGCCACAUUGGGACUGAGACACGGCCCAAACUCCUACGGGAGGCAGCAGUGGGGAAUAUUGCACAAUGGGGGAAACCCUGAUGCAGCGACGCCGCGUGAGCGAAGAAGUAUUUCGGUAUGUAAAGCUCUAUCAGCAGGGAAGAAAAUGACGGUACCUGACUAAGAAGCACCGGCUAAAUACGUGCCAGCAGCCGCGGUAAUACGUAUGGUGCAAGCGUUAUCCGGAUUUACUGGGUGUAAAGGGAGCGUAGACGGUUGUGUAAGUCUGAUGUGAAAGCCCGGGGCUCAACCCCGGGACUGCAUUGGAAACUAUGUAACUAGAGUGUCGGAGAGGUAAGCGGAAUUCCUAGUGUAGCGGUGAAAUGCGUAGAUAUUAGGAGGAACACCAGUGGCGAAGGCGGCUUACUGGACGAUCACUGACGUUGAGGCUCGAAAGCGUGGGGAGCAAACAGGAUUAGAUACCCUGGUAGUCCACGCCGUAAACGAUGACUACUAGGUGUCGGGGAGCAAAGCUCUUCGGUGCCGCAGCAAACGCAAUAAGUAGUCCACCUGGGGAGUACGUUCGCAAGAAUGAAACUCAA